AACGCUAGCUACAGGCUUAACACAUGCAAGUCGAGGGGAAACGAUAUUGGAAGCUUGCUUCCGAUAGGCGUCGACCGGCGCACGGGUGAGUAACGCGUAUCCAACCUGCCCACCACUUGGGAAUAACCUUGCGAAAGUAAGACUAAUACCCAAUGACGUCUCUAGAAGACAUCUGAAGGAGAUUAAAGAUUUAUCGGUGAUGGAUGGGGAUGCGUCUGAUUAGCUUGUUGGCGGGGUAACGGCCCACCAAGGCGACGAUCAGUAGGGGUUCUGAGAGGAAGGUCCCCCACAUUGGAACUGAGACACGGUCCAAACUCCUACGGGAGGCAGCAGUGAGGAAUAUUGGUCAAUGGGCGAGAGCCUGAACCAGCCAAGUAGCGUGCAGGAUGACGGCCCUAUGGGUUGUAAACUGCUUUUAUAAGGGAAUAAAGUGAGCCUCGUGAGGCUUUUUGCAUGUACCUUAUGAAUAAGGACCGGCUAAUUCCGUGCCAGCAGCCGCGGUAAUACGGAAGGCCCGGGCGUUAUCCGGAUUUAUUGGGUUUAAAGGGAGCGUAGGCCGGAGAUUAAGCGUGUUGUGAAAUGUAGAUGCUCAACAUCUGCACUGCAGCGCGAACUGGUUUCCUUGAGUACGCACAAAGUGGGCGGAAUUCGUGGUGUAGCGGUGAAAUGCUUAGAUAUCACGAAGAACUCCGAUUG
This 696-nucleotide ribosomal RNA is filed under the name uncultured bacterium. RNAcentral describes it as "bacterial SSU rRNA". It matches the Rfam family "Bacterial small subunit ribosomal RNA", at positions 32 to 715 of the family's 1533-position model. The record is from RNAcentral.